GAUGAACGCUGACAGAAUGCUUAACACAUGCAAGUCAACUUGAACUUCGGUUUGGGUGGCGGACGGGUGAGUAACGCGUAAAGAACUUGCCUCACAGCUAGGGACAACAUUUGGAAACGAAUGCUAAUACCCGAUAUUAUGAUUAUAUGGCAUCGUAUAAUUAUGAAAGCUAUAUGCGCUGUGAGAGAGCUUUGCGUCCCAUUAGCUAGUUGGAGAGGUAACAGCUCACCAAGGCGAUGAUGGGUAGCCGGCCUGAGAGGGUGAUCGGCCACAAGGGGACUGAGACACGGCCCUUACUCCUACGGGAGGCAGCAGUGGGGAAUAUUGGACAAUGGACCGAGAGUCUGAUCCAGCAAUUCUGUGUGCACGAUGAAGUUUUUCGGAAUGUAAAGUGCUUUCAGUUGGGAAGAAAAAAAUGACGGUACCAACAGAAGAAGUGACGGCUAAAUACGUG
RNAcentral lists this ribosomal RNA (454 nucleotides) under uncultured bacterium. RNAcentral describes it as "partial 16S ribosomal RNA". It matches the Rfam family "Bacterial small subunit ribosomal RNA", at positions 28 to 507 of the family's 1533-position model. The record is from RNAcentral.